This 1270-nucleotide ribosomal RNA is filed under the name Capnodium salicinum. RNAcentral describes it as "LSU rRNA". It matches the Rfam family "Eukaryotic large subunit ribosomal RNA", at positions 74 to 1896 of the family's 3401-position model. Lineage: Eukaryota; Fungi; Ascomycota; Dothideomycetes; Capnodiales; Capnodiaceae. The record is from RNAcentral.
AUUGCCCUAGUAACGGCGAGUGAAGCGGCAACAGCUCAAAUUUGAAAUCUGGCGUCUCCGGCGUCCGAGUUGUAAUUUGUAGAGGAUGCUUCUGGGCAGCCACCGGUCUAAGUUCCUUGGAACAGGACGUCAUAGAGGGUGAGAAUCCCGUAUGCGACCGGAAGGGCACCCUCCACGUAGCUCCUUCGACGAGUCGAGUUGUUUGGGAAUGCAGCUCUAAAUGGGAGGUAAAUUUCUUCUAAAGCUAAAUACCGGCCAGAGACCGAUAGCGCACAAGUAGAGUGAUCGAAAGAUGAAAAGCACUUUGGAAAGAGAGUUAAAAAGCACGUGAAAUUGUUGAAAGGGAAGCGCUUGCAACCAGACUUGCUGGCGGUGUUCCGCCGGUCUUCUGACCGGUUCAUUCGCCGUCUGCAGGCCAGCAUCAUCUGGGGCCGCCGGAUAAAAACGGUGGGAAUGUGGCUCCCUCGGGAGUGUUAUAGCCCUCCGUGUAAUACGGCGUGCCUCGGGUGAGGUCCGCGCUUCGGCUUGGAUGCUGGCAUAAUGGUUGUAAGCGGCCCGUCUUGAAACACGGACCAAGGAGUCUAACAUCUAUGCGAGUGUUCGGGUGUCAAACCCCUACGCGUAAUGAAAGUGAACGGAGGUGGGAACUUUUUGUGCACCAUCGACCGAUCCUGAUGUCUUCGGAUGGAUUUGAGUAAGAGCAUAGCUGUUGGGACCCGAAAGAUGGUGAACUAUGCCUGAAUAGGGUGAAGCCAGAGGAAACUCUGGUGGAGGCUCGCAGCGGUUCUGACGUGCAAAUCGAUCGUCAAAUUUGGGUAUAGGGGCGAAAGACUAAUCGAACCAUUAACAAACCCGACGCUAUCACUGCGUGACAGGGAGAUGUUGCCAGCAACAUACUAGGUGGUUAAGAGGGACGUAAAAGGCGAGCCCUAGUCGCGGUUAUCGGUGAUUCCGAGUGUACGCGGCGACACUGUCAAAUUGCGGGGACUUCCUGAGAGCCAGUGCUACUAAGCGGCAUCCCGAAAGGGGGCUGUGGCCGGGGUAAUGACCUAGGGUAUAGUAACAACGCACUGGAUUGGAUAAUCCGCAGCCAAGUCCUAAACUCAACGUCUUUGUGUAAAAGCAAAGGGGUAGUAUGGAUGCAGUUCAACGACUAGAAGGCAGUGGGUCGCAUUGUUUCUACAUUGAAUCAAUCGCGGCUUAAGAUAUAGUCUAGUCCUUACUCGAAAGGGUAGGGUGGAGGAACCGUAAUGUCUCUCCCUGAGAGAUC